RNAcentral lists this ribosomal RNA (300 nucleotides) under uncultured Glaciecola sp. RNAcentral's name for it is "bacterial SSU rRNA". It matches the Rfam family "Bacterial small subunit ribosomal RNA", at positions 114 to 421 of the family's 1533-position model. Lineage: Bacteria; Pseudomonadati; Pseudomonadota; Gammaproteobacteria; Alteromonadales; Alteromonadaceae. The record is from RNAcentral.
UGCUUGGGAACUUGCCUUUGCGAGGGGAAUAACCACUGGAAACGGUGGCUAAUACCGCAUAAUGUCUACGGACCAAACAGGGCUUUCGGGCUCUGGCGCAAAGAGAGGCCCAAGUGAGAUUAGCUAGUUGGUGAGGUAAGAGCUCACCAAGGCAACGAUCUCUAGCUGUUCUGAGAGGACGAUCAGCCACACUGGGACUGAGACACGGCCCAGACUCCUACGGGAGGCAGCAGUAGGGAAUCUUGCACAAUGGGCGAAAGCCUGAUGCAGCGACGCCGCGUGGGGGAUGAAGGCCUUCGG